Vicia villosa (hairy vetch) is the source of this 2477-nucleotide long non-coding RNA. RefSeq lists it as uncharacterized. NCBI's taxonomy places the organism in Eukaryota, Viridiplantae, Streptophyta, Magnoliopsida, Fabales, Fabaceae. The record is from RefSeq and is a predicted model, not a curated record. The transcript is spliced from 9 exons.
AUCUUGCAGCACAUAGUAAUUUUUGGUGAAACGUUUUAGGUCAUACUUUCUACUAUUAAACUAACUAAUUGCUUUGUUAACUUACGUCAUGUUUUUCCAUAAUUUUUUAUUCUUAGGAUUUGAAAAUAGGUGAUGAAAUCAAUGUCAUAGAUUCUUGUUUUUGUGAUGCUAAAUGGUUCUAUAUGUUGUAUACAUGUUAUAAUACCAAGUAACUGUUUUGGAUGAGUUUUAGUGAGAAAAACGUGUUGAUAAUCGUAUUCUAAAGAGGUUUUGAUAAAUAAAGAUGAAGUUGCGGAAGAUGACAAUGGUGGUGGCAGAGAGCACAUAAUGGAAGAAAUGCAGAUGCUUGUGUUAGAGAAAAGACAGUAUAGUCCAGUGUAGUCAGAAAGGGAUAUGUCUAUUGAAUUUAUGAGCAUCAAUUCCAGCAUUAGAUCCUCCCAAGAACCAUUAUAUCCUCAAAGAGUCUCUCCCAGAGUCCUCAAUCCCCGACAGUCUUCAAAAUAUCGGACAACACUAGUUUAUUAAAUCUCAGCCCCCGAAACUCAGUUUUCUUUAGAUGAGAAUUCACUUUGUUCUUCAGAUUCUGAUGCUGAAAUGAGGAAAAAGACAGAAAUAUAGCAUUGUUGGAACCUCAACAAAUCCAAACCCAUCCCUGAGACAUCUGGAGAAUUAUCUGCAGCCUCACCAGAGAGGUUGUCAAUGGCAUCUCAUGGAAAUGUUCGUGACAUCUGGAGAAUUAUCUGCAGCCUCACCAGAGAGGUUGUCAAUGGCAUCUCAUGGAAAUGUUCGUGGAAAUACAAAACACAUUGUUCUCAACUAUACAGAAAAUGAUGUGUUAGAUGAUGGCUGUUAAGUUUUGAUAACUUUUGAGUUGACUAAUUUGUAAUUGUUGCAGUACAACUCUGAGCCUGAAGCCGUUGACCUUUUAAUGGAGGUAACAUGUUGAGGGCCUUGACAUGUUGAAUGAAUAUAUAGACAAAACAAAUUUACGAAGGUGUUUACUUCUUGCAAUGAUGUGCAUCAAAAGAAGCAAUUCUGUUACAUUAUUGCACGUCAUGUAAGUCCUGGAUUCUGUGCUAGUGCUCUAAAUGUUUCUCUGAGUGAUAAUAGGUGUAUUGUUACACAUCAGUUGUUUAACUGUGGAGUGGAGUUAUGUGCUAGUCUCUCUUUAGCUUUAUGUUGGCAAGUGACAAAGCUACAGGGAAUCAAAGGGACUGAGAAGAAGAAGAUUUCACUAUCAGCUUUAUUGAGACUCUCUUUUGAUGAUUUUUGUGAUGUGUGUGGGGAAUUGCUUUUGUGCUCGACAUAGAAAUGGCUGGAAAUGAAGAUGACAGAGAAAAGUUGCAGGAUAUCUUAUACAAUUCUAAGUUAAGUGAAGGAUAUCUAGCUCUUGCUCGUGAUCUUGAAGUCAUGGAGGCCAAGUCCCCUAUGGAUAUAUACAAGGUUUGACACUGAGAAUAAAUUUAGUCCCGCCUCAAUGAAUCCCGGUACAUGUGUAGUUUUUACAUCUAAUGCCCUAAGAUUAGAAUUGUAAAUAAUUAAAUUAUGGUCCAAUUUGAUGAAAGGGCAUGUAAAUAAAUCAUGCUCUUUUAAUUUGAGGUACAAACAACUAUUAGUUUUGCUGCUUGCAUAUGUUUUCUUUUAAAUCUACGAUUUUUUUUAUUAAUAGUUGUAAGUGAUUGUUGAACAAUUGGUUAUGAUUUUUUAUACAAGUGUUGAACUUGGUGCUCAUAUUUUAAAAGCCAAAAAAUAAUCUGCAAUGCAAGUAUGUGUGAAGUUAUUUUCAGAAAUCAGAAGCUACUAUUUUUAACUGCCAAAAACAUUGCUUAAGCAGCUAUUUUGAAGAUUGGCUUUUCAAACACGAGGAACACGGGAGGACUAGUGCUGUAGCAUGCCUGGGUAUGAUUUCACUCUGGGAUGUUAGGAGAUAGUAUCAUUGAGAAUAUUGUAAAUAGAUUAUGGACUAAGCCAAGGCUAUGACAUCUACAUAGCUAGAUUAUUGAUGUCAAAUAGCCGCUAUCAAACUGGUCAUUUCUUGGCCAACCCACAAGGUGGCCUAGGUCUUCAGUUUGCACAGCUUGGCCGAGAUGUAAAUUUUAUGGACUUUGGCAGUACAUGUUCAACAAGUUAGAGCUUCAUGUACUUAUUUUAGGGAAUGACAAGGCUGGCAAAACGACUUUGCUUGAGAAGAUGAAGUCGGUGUACACGAAUGUAGAAGUUCUUCCUCCGGAUCGAAUUGUGGAAAGCAAUUGCUUCUCCAGGGCGUGGUAUUUUGGCCAUGGAUGAAUCCAAUGCUACAUGUGGAAAGCAGAUGGAUUCAAUUGGAGUAGAGAACACUGAAGCUAACUGUCAAGCAUGGUGUAAAAUUAUAUAUGAAGAAAAUGUUAUGACUUGGUUAAAAUAUAAUUUUUAUGUGUAUGAUUUUUUAGUACUUGAAAUAUUAUGAAUGCACAUGAUUUUGUAUACUUUUUGGUUAA